UACGUAGGGCGCAAGCGUUGUCCGGAAUUAUUGGGCGUAAAGAGCUCGUAGGCGGUUUGUCGCGUCUGCUGUGAAAACCUAAGGCUCAACCUUGGGCUUGCAGUGGGUACGGGCAAACUAGAGUGCGGUAGGGGUGACUGGAAUUCCUGGUGUAGCGGUGGAAUGCGCAGAUAUCAGGAGGAACACCGAUGGCGAAGGCAGGUCACUGGGCCGCAACUGACGCUGAGGAGCGAAAGCAUGGGGAGCGAACAGG
This 253-nucleotide ribosomal RNA is filed under the name uncultured bacterium. Its description in RNAcentral is "partial 16S ribosomal RNA". It matches the Rfam family "Bacterial small subunit ribosomal RNA", at positions 524 to 776 of the family's 1533-position model. The record is from RNAcentral.